CCCGGGUCUUGUACACACCGCCCGUCACACCAUGGAAGCCGGUUCCGCCUUAAGCCGUAUCGCCAACCGCAAGGGGGCAUACGACCACGGCAGGGUCGGUGACUGGGGUG
Molecule: ribosomal RNA, 110 nt
Filed under: uncultured bacterium
Lineage: Bacteria
Description: partial 16S ribosomal RNA
Rfam family: Bacterial small subunit ribosomal RNA
Source: RNAcentral